RNAcentral lists this long non-coding RNA (4144 nucleotides) under Setaria italica (foxtail millet). RNAcentral's name for it is "long non-coding RNA (SITA_LNC001123)". The record is from RNAcentral. Lineage: Eukaryota; Viridiplantae; Streptophyta; Magnoliopsida; Poales; Poaceae.
CAACUGGACCGGUACUAAAGGACCCCCUCUAGUACCGAAUUGCCAGUACCGGUUGCGAAACUGAUACUAGAGAAACCGAUACUACAGGGGGAUUUUCAACCGGUACUAAAGCCGUUUUCUCUAGUAGUGCACUUCUUCUGUGAAUCUUAUACCAUACUACUUUGAGGAGACCUUCACACCAACACUAAUACGGGAGACCAACUCUUUAUAAGGAAUUAUUCGCUCAAUUUGAUACACUUCAACACAGAAUAAUGCAAGUCCCUUGACAAAAACAAGCACAAGCAAACGCUAAACUGAAGCAUUAAGCGCAGAACGGCAUAUGGUCGAACACCCUGCGCGCGUCAGUGCCCGGCGGGGUGGCCGCCGCCGAGAUCCUUGAGCCGCGCCGCAGCCUUCUCCCCGUCUAUUGAGUACUGCAAGGCAGCCAGGAAAACGUUGGUUGCUUAGACGACAACUCGGUCGAGAUCGGUCGGGGUGGUGAAGCAGCGAUACUACGUGGGGAUACCUUGGAGAGGACCCAUGACGAGUGGGUGUAGGCGCGGCGGAGGAGGGCGGCGAGGUCGUCGUCGGCGGAGAGGUCGCGGUAGUUGACGAAGUUCUCGCGGGCGUAUUUGGCGUAGUAGGGCCGCGUCUCCGCCGGCAGCCGCCGCACCAGGCGGAGCACCUCGCGGUACGCGCGCAGCCCCGCGUUCAUCGGCAUCGCCGCAGGUCGUCGAGGCGAGCUGCUGACUGCUCAGGAGAGAGUGGUUUGGAAGGGGCACUGCUACUACUUUUCCAAGGCCGGCCUAGUCUACCCAAUUUCGCGGCCCGGCCCAUUUGGCGCCGGCCCUUUCUUCCGUCUCCGAAGAAAGCAAUCCAACUCCACGGAAAAAGCGCGCGAAAAUGCAAACACCCAUUGCUCUACAUGGUCGCUGCUCUCUGCCACUGCAAUUGGCCCAGGACGCGGGCAGUUCGUCCUCUAUCUCUAUGACUCCAGGCCCGGAACAUGGGCGACGCACGCCGUCUCCGUGGAGGACCGGCAGUUUCAGAAGUAUCAGCAGGAGGAGGGCUACUUCCUGCACAACAACAGCAAGGUGAUCGCUAUCGGAGGAGAAGGCGGGACCAUGGGCUUCGUCGACCUCCAUCGCGGCAUCCUGCUCUGCGAUCUGCUUCAAGCCAAAGACGGCCAUAGGUUUGGCUACAUCCGGCUUCCACGGCCACUCCGGUCAGACGCAAAGCUCCAGGGCGAUGCACGGCUUGCUCGGGACAUUGCCGUCGUCGGAGAUCGCAUCAAGUACGUCCAGCAGCAGCUUCACUGGAAGCCUUGCCCAACCUACGUGAAUCACUACAUCCCAGAUGGCUUGCUGGCUGCCACAUGGAGCAGGCUGGCCCAGUGGAGGAUCCUUGGGAGAGCCACCACAAGAUCCAGUCAUCCGAGAUGGACAUCAGCAACCCGCAGUUCGAGCUCCUCCCGAAGCAGCGUGACGACGAAGGCAGGCCAGUGCCACCCUUCAAGAGGCUCAGCAUAUGCCAGCCCACACUCAGCUUGAAGGAGGGUGAUGAUGCUACUGUUUGCUUCAUGGUCGAGAUGGACAUACUGGACGAGGAGGCCUGGGUGAUCGCUGUAGACAUGAAGAAUAACAGAUUACAAGGAGUUGUUGAGUUUGACGCAACGAGAACCGCCUGUCUGGGUUUCGCCUAUAUGCACAGCGGGGUAUCCAGAUAUCUGGACAGGAUUUCAGAUAAUUCUGUCGGUGUGAAUCCCUAAUUUAAUUGUGCGAACAAAUGUACAGAUCUGCAGGAAACAAAUGCAUACACAUAAGCACGUCUCUAGCUACUACCAGAAUAUAAGUUGUACAUUCGUAUUGCUUUUUUUUUAGGUGAUUGUAUAUUUGUAUUGCUGAUUGAUACAUUGGAUGAUUGCCACAAUGUAGUUGGAAGGGGGGAAAUUAACCAUCAUUUAUACAUAAGAGAGACUUAUCUCAUCAGUUAGCUCAAGCACAUGAAAAGCAACCAAUUUUCCCAAACUCAUUUGAUAUUGCUAGAGAAUACGAAAGUAUAUUGCAGCUACAGUCCUAGGUGAGGACAUCAUUGAUACUAGAGCAAUCUGGUCAGCAAAUAAAGACUUAGGGGUUGGGUAUGGACACAAGCAAACCAUGAUGUGAAAGGAUAUAUGCUUGAUGCCCAGUUAGAUCCCAUUGGAGCAUGUAGGACUUUUACUGAUGACAUUUAGAACUUUGAACAGCCACCGGAGCAGUUCUCUAAAAUGUGUCUACCAGGCUACAAAACAGGGAACCCUACUUGUUACAAUAUAAUUGCUAGUUGGGGUAGGAGGUGGGGGAGCAAAUGAAUACUGGAUAUUUCUGUACUUUUUGGAUCUAAAGUCUGUGGGUGCUCCCACAAUAAUAAAAUGUUCAGAGUUUUAACUAGAGACUGGCAAUGAAAACAGCAAGGUUGCUUAAACUUUGAAAAAAGAGCAGAUCAUUUGAGUGGUGUGCCCUGCAUUCUAAAACUAGACUAGAACCAUAUCAAGCAGAGUACUCAUAUUAAAACUAGAACCAUAUCAGAUUUAGAUGUUUCGAAUUUAGGUAGAGUCAGAAUAGUCAAGUAUAUAUGGAAUGCACAUUAACUAUCAUUUAAUCAAUGUAUUUGUGAUUUAAUUGUGUCACCAUAAUUUCCAAAAUACUGGGCCGAAUGGGGCUUAAAUUAACAAAACAAUGAUCAUGUAGAUAAGCAACUUAACCUUGAUAUUCAUAUUAGUUUCAUUCGGUAAAUCCAAACAAAUUCCUGGUUGCCAUAGUUUGUAGUUUUCUCAAUUUCUGGUUGACAUGGUCACAUUGUCAGAAUAUUGUGCAAGAAAAUGUGGUGCCCUCUCCAGGGCCAAACAAAUAUUAUGCAUAACUCAAAAUGCCUGGAGGUAAUCACAAGUUCACAACAAUAAGGGACCAGACUUUUCAGUUCGUGAAUCUUACCUGAACCCAUUGUUUUAAUUUGUUGAUCUUACCUGAACCCAUUGUUUCAGGAGUUCUGCACCGCUUGGCUUCAGAUUUCAGAAAGAAAGUAAACAUGGUGAACAAUCUGGCAGUUAGAUAUGUUUACUCUUGCAUAUAGAUUAUCUUCAUCUCAUAGUCAUGUUCUAAUUAGAUAGUAUGACAUGAACAAUGGGUAGCCUUAUCAUUUCAAGGUCCUACACGGCAAUAACUACGGAAACAUCGGAGCGGAGGGGCAUGCUAAACCACUGCACAACAAAAGUUUGUGCCCCUUCUUUUCUUUGCUUUCAUUUCUUCAGUAGUCGGUUCUUCUUAUAUGUUGGACUGUAUCAGGCUGUUUUUGAGGCACAACUGAGGGUCAACGGCCCUGGUAACAGCAAUUUGUUAUAGCACAUAUGAGAGUUCAAAUGCGGAUAUGAACUUGUGUCAUCUGAUUAAAUGCGAUGCCUCACACAGAGUGCCUAUGGACUAAGGCCACAUACAGAUUCCAUUAGGCCAUAGGUACGGCACUGUCCCAAAAUAGAGAUAGUAAAAUUUCUUAGGAUGAGAGCUCAAUGCAAUUUCACAGUUUUCAAACUCAACUGGUCAGCUUGGUGUCUCAGGAACUCAACUGGAGACCGACUGAAUUCAGUCUGGAGCUCUACGUAGCAGAAAAUCAUCAUGUAUGAUAGUGCUGUGAGGAACAACACGAUCAUGUUUUGGUCCGUGGAUUCCCCUUGUCCAGAGCCAUUGAUGACCCAAAGCAAUGAAUCAUACAUCCUAGCAUCUUAUUCAGAAGAAGUGUGUAGAUCUACAGAAGACAUGUAAGGGGAAAGGGGGAAAUGUUUUGAUUCCGAGGAAGCACGAGCUCGUACAGCGAUCUGAGAUGGCGGCCGUCCUCUCCUCUCCUCUCCUCUCUAGGAGGACUGCGUCUUCGACGUGGUGUUGGGGCCGGGGGAGCAGGAUGACCGGAAGGCGUCGAUGUGCGCCUGGCACUUGACGCGGUCGCCCUUGUUCUCCUCCAGGCACCUCCGCAGCGCCUCCACGUCGCACGCCGGCGCCCUAGGCUGCUUUGUCUCGUCUCUCCCUCUACCGCCGGCCACCGAAGCAGAUGGCGCCGCCGCCGCUUCCAUGGUGGGACACUGGGUCUCCCUCGCCGUCUCCAGAUCGAGUCUGGGCAAGGGAGUCUGCUAGGG